Molecule: unclassified non-coding RNA, 298 nt
Filed under: Hevea brasiliensis (rubber tree)
Lineage: Eukaryota; Viridiplantae; Streptophyta; Magnoliopsida; Malpighiales; Euphorbiaceae
Source: RNAcentral
UGGGAGGCGUUCAGCUUGGACGCCAUUGAUAAUGGCAUGCGGAUCAGUCAGGAUUUCUGCACGCCAAUUUGAAUGGCAUCCGGAUUUUUGCAUGCCAUUUUGAAUAGCCUUCGGCACUGUUAGGGAUAGCCUCAUCACCCCGCACGCGAAUUUGAAUAGCGUUGUUAGGCUCCUCACCCUGCUCUGGUAAUUUUCCUUCGAUCCACCAUGUUUUCAUCAUUUUUGCUCCACUGUAGUCCUUGUACGGUAAAAUUCCCGGAUAAAGAGGGACAUACACAACAUGGUUGGCAAUAUUUUG